This 253-nucleotide ribosomal RNA is filed under the name uncultured bacterium. Its description in RNAcentral is "partial 16S ribosomal RNA". It matches the Rfam family "Bacterial small subunit ribosomal RNA", at positions 524 to 776 of the family's 1533-position model. The record is from RNAcentral.
UACGUAGGGACCAAGCGUUGUUCGGAUUUACUGGGCGUAAAGGGCGCGUAGGCGGCGUGACAAGUCACUUGUGAAAUCUCUGAGCUUAACUCAGAACGGCCAAGUGAAACUGUUGUGCUAGAGUGCAGAAGGGGCAAUCGGAAUUCUUGGUGUAGCGGUGAAAUGCGUAGAUAUCAAGAGGAACACCGGUGGCGAAGGCGGAUCUCUGGACCAGUUCUGACACUGAUGAGCGAAAGCCAGGGGAGCAAACAGG